ACACAAAAAGUGACGCUUCGUCAAUGUUCUUCUUCAUUGUUCAGACAAGUAUUUAAAUUUGAAUCAAUAAUUCUUUACGUAUGUACACCUGAUAUAAGACAUUUUACUUCCCUGUGGGAAUUCCUUUCUGUUGAAAUGUACAUGAAUAUGGCCUCAUCGGUAAAACACGUUGGUCGCGAUGAUAAAAUCUCCAUGCACAGAAUGUGAGAUAGUUUUUUUUAAGGAGACUGAAAAAUCUCACAGAAAAUCAAGACUGUGCACGAACCAUAAUCCAAUAUGACCGGAAGAACAGAUCAAGCGCAACAGUUGAUUCAAAAUAUACCUGGAAUUGAACAAAUUAAGCCAUCCUUGUUGAGACGACUGACAAUGCCAGACGACAUGAAAACUUUAAAUAUACAGGCCUGUCUGGCAUUACCUGAUGGUAGAUUUAUAUUAUCUGAUUUCAACGACAAACAACUACUGCUGUUCGGUAAUGACGGCAUAUUUAUCAGAGAAGUAGUCACAUUUACAAAUUAUCCAGGUGAUGUUUGCUUUAUUAGAAAUAAUACAGUGGCUGUCACAUUAGGUGCAGCAUACAAGACAGUAUUGGUGGAUAUAGAAAAGAAUGAAAUUAUUCAAACAAUUGAACUUUCUCAUUAUUGUAAAGGAGUAGCAAGUGAUGGUCAAAAAUUGAUCAUAUGCAGUGUCAGGGAAUCUUCAAUAGUGAAUCUGGAUGAUAUGUCUCAAUCUUAUUUAGAAGUGGUCGGAGAUUGUAUUUCAUUAUACAAAGGAAAUGUCUAUAUCACCUUUGAAAACAAUGUAGAGUGUUACGAAAUCAAUGGCGAUCCUCUUUGGACAUUUCUGCCACAUGACUUAAGCAACGUUAACAGCAUACAAGGACUUACAUUAGACAAGAAUGGCUUUGUUUAUAUCGCCUCUAGAAAAAAUAACAGGAUCGUGGUAGUAUCAUCAGAUGGUCAAACCAGUAAGACAAUACUGUCCGAGUCUGAUGGAAUCAAAAGUCCUUGGGGAAUAAACAUCAACAGAGAAACAGGAAUCAUGAUAGUGUCGAGUAAAAUCUGCGAUGAUAGUAGUGAUACAUUGUAUGAUACAGCUUUCGUUUAUAAAAUCUGAAAAGAGCGAUGCGUUUUAUUUAUUAAUAAAUCUCUUUCUGUG
Molecule: long non-coding RNA, 1155 nt
Organism: Mytilus californianus (California mussel)
Lineage: Eukaryota; Metazoa; Mollusca; Bivalvia; Mytilida; Mytilidae
Exons: 2
Source: RefSeq, a predicted model, not a curated record